Long non-coding RNA from Amblyraja radiata (thorny skate), 106 nucleotides. RefSeq lists it as uncharacterized. The transcript is spliced from 3 exons. The record is from RefSeq and is a predicted model, not a curated record. Lineage: Eukaryota; Metazoa; Chordata; Chondrichthyes; Rajiformes; Rajidae.
CCCAUCUGUGAUAAAUGUCUUUCGCAAGAUGCCAAUAUUUACGCACUCAUUUGUUCCUUGUACAAAACUUCAUCAAUUUUGGUGUAAUAUAUUUGAUAUAUUCGCA